This 301-nucleotide ribosomal RNA is filed under the name uncultured bacterium. RNAcentral describes it as "partial 16S ribosomal RNA". It matches the Rfam family "Bacterial small subunit ribosomal RNA", at positions 509 to 807 of the family's 1533-position model. The record is from RNAcentral.
CAGUCGCCGCGGGAACACGUAGGGUGCAAGCGUUAAUCGGAAUUACUGGGCGUAAAGCGUGCGCAGGCGGUUUGUUAAGACAGAUGUGAAAUCCCCGGGCUCAACCUGGGAACUGCAUUUGUGACUGGCAAGCUAGAGUGUGGCAGAGGGGGGUGGAAUUCCGCGUGUAGCAGUGAAAUGCGUAGAUAUGCGGAGGAACACCGAUGGCGAAGGCAGCCCCCUGCGCCAACACUGACGCUCAUGCACGAAAGCGUGGGGAGCAAACAGGAUUAGAUACCCCUGUAGUCCCUGUCUCUUAUAC